This 151-nucleotide small nuclear RNA is filed under the name Echinops telfairi (small Madagascar hedgehog). RNAcentral's name for it is "U1 spliceosomal RNA (ENSETEG00000023282.1)". It matches the Rfam family "U1 spliceosomal RNA". Rfam says of the family: U1 is a small nuclear RNA (snRNA) component of the spliceosome (involved in pre-mRNA splicing). Lineage: Eukaryota; Metazoa; Chordata; Mammalia; Afrosoricida; Tenrecidae. The record is from RNAcentral.
AUACUUACCUGACAGGGGAGAUACCAUGAUCACGAAGGUGGUUUUCCCAGGGCGAGGCUCCGGGUGUGCUGACCCCUGCGAUUUCCCCAAAUGUGGGAAACUCGACUGUUUAAUUUGUGGUAGUGGGGGACUGAGUUUGUGCUAUCCCCUG